GUUAUUCAGUAUUUAUGUAGUUGUAUGUAGCAUGAUCUUCAAAUCUGAAUUUAUUAUCUUUCCCUUCUCUCAACAGGUCCCCUAGUCCCUUCAUCAUUUACUUUAAAACUUCAGCUUCGUUACAAAGCAAAAACAAAGGCACUUUUAAGAGCCACGUUUGUCUAGUUAAUUGUUGUUAGUCCGUCUGGUUCUCUGUUGUUCUUGCUCUUUUGCUCUUCCCCCCUAUCCCUUUAGUGUUGUCUUGUUUGUCCUUGUUCAUCAUGAGUGACAAUUCCAAUUUCGAACAGGUCCUUAAUGAGCUUGAUGAGCUUGUUGAACAUUCUAAAUUAAAUUAUGAACUCCAGACCUUGGAAGAUUUCAUCAAUAAGAUGCCGGGAGAACAGGAGGCAGCACCAUCCACCAGCCAUCAACCUGUCAGGUGGCUGAAGAGAGACAGUGAUGGAAAUGUUGUCUAUGACAGACCAAGAUCAUCCCGAAACCAAACGGCUAGUCACAGCUACAGUCGUAAGACUGGUGCUCAUACUAGGAUGUUGGACAGCAGCGUUGAGAUAACCAACUACUGUCCUCCUGACACUGUUGAGACUUUCCUUGAAGAGCUAAACCACUCACAGGGUGAUGACUUGGAUGAUCAGGAAACGGCACCAGCACCACCACGAGCUUCCUCAGACUGGUCUACUCGAAAAAGUCUCCUCUCAGAGAGGUGGGAGAAAGAGAGAACCUGUCUGGUGAAUACCAUGGUGGCACAACAAAAUGUGACAACUCAGAUCUGCCAACAAUGUGGCAGCAGUCCAGCUGCUGUCCGUUGUCGUGACUGCCGACCACAACCAUUCUUCUGUGCUGAUUGUGAUGUCAGUAUACACCGAAACCACGUGUUCCACAACAGGGAUGCAACAAUAGCUGGAUUCUUUCAGCCAUUGCCUCCAACA
This 926-nucleotide long non-coding RNA is filed under the name Sinocyclocheilus grahami. Its description in RNAcentral is "lncRNA (ENSSGRG00000039016.1)". Lineage: Eukaryota; Metazoa; Chordata; Actinopteri; Cypriniformes; Cyprinidae. The record is from RNAcentral.